Molecule: long non-coding RNA, 841 nt
Organism: Oreochromis aureus
Lineage: Eukaryota; Metazoa; Chordata; Actinopteri; Cichliformes; Cichlidae
Source: Ensembl
GUUCAUAACAGGUUUGCCGGGUUUGGUUCUUAUUGUUUUCAGUUUCACAGUUUUUUUGUUUUACUUUCACUUCACUUUCACUAAAUGCUUAGAAGGUUUUUGCAGAAACGUGCAGAGAGUCUGUCUUUUAAAGACUCUAAACAAUCGUAUAUAGAUAUCCCGGACAGGCGUUUACAGUAAAGGAGAGCUCCGGGUCGGACACAUUCUUUGCUCAUUGAUUGGCUGUUUCCGGACAACCGUUUCGUCACUUAUCUCCGCCCCCUGUCCUGAGAAUGGAGCUGACGCUGGAGGGGGCUGCGUCAAGUGGAAGAACAGGAAGUCUAGACACUUAAAGUUUGAAAAUAAAAGAAAGCUUCUAAUUGAACGGUCAGGACAUUGACCGCUAAAGCGGUUUAAGAGAGAAACAAUAUCGACUCGAUAUACACAGGUGCUGCACUCUCAAAGACUGAAUGAACCAGCAUUGCAGCCAUGGGUCACUGUGAGCAUCACAGGGAAGGUUGAAGCCGCCCACUGCACCCGUGUGGCCGGAGUCGUGGAGACCUGCACCCAUGUCGCUGCUCUUCUGUUUAAUGUAGAAGCAACAGUGCGGAUCUGUGGCACAAGGACUGUUACAGAUGAACCUGCAUACUGGGUUUUGCCUGGUAAUAUGACCAAGAUACAGCCAGAGGUUGGCCAUAAGAGACUUCUCCUCUUCAGCUGCCCAAAAAAAGGCUCUUGAUCAAAACAUAAACAGACCAUCCGUAAUGAAAGGUAAAAGGAGCCGUCCUCAAAAAAGAAAAAUCCCACCUGCUACUGUGGAGGAGUUGUCACUGCUAUAAUGCCAUAAUGUUUUAUCUAGGGG